Molecule: ribosomal RNA, 497 nt
Filed under: uncultured bacterium
Lineage: Bacteria
Description: partial 16S ribosomal RNA
Rfam family: Bacterial small subunit ribosomal RNA
Source: RNAcentral
GAUGAACGCUGGCGGCGUGCCUAAUACAUGCAAGUCGAGCGAACAGACGAGGAGCUUGCUCCUCUGACGUUAGCGGCGGACGGGUGAGUAACACGUGGAUAACCUACCUAUAAGACUGGGAUAACUUCGGGAAACCGGAGCUAAUACCGGAUAAUAUAUUGAACCGCAGGGUUCAAUAGUGAAAGACGGUUUUGCUGUCACUUAUAGAUGGAUCCGCGCCGCAUUAGCUAGUUGGUAAGGUAACGGCUUACCAAGGCAACGAUGCGUAGCCGACCUGAGAGGGUGGUCAGCCACACUAGAACUGAGACACGGUCCAGUCUCCUACGCGACGCGGCAGUAGGGAGUCUUCCGCUGAGGGCGAAAGCCUGACGGAGCAACGCCGCGUGAGUUAUGAAGGUCUUCGGAUCGUAAUACUCUGUUAUUAGGGAAGAACAAAUGUGUAAGUAACUAUGCACGUCUUGACGGUACCUAAUCAGAAAGCCACGGCUAACUACGUG